AUGGUGAUUAAAGCCCAGCAAAAUGGCUUGUUCAAAGGGUUAGCGUCUGAUUUGAUUCCAAAUGGUGUGGCUAUCUUGCAAUAUGCGGAUGACACGAUCCUAUGCUUCGAGGAUAAUCCUAGGAAUGCUCUUAAUAUUAAGCUGAUGUUAUAUCUUUUUGAAGUCAUGUCUGGGUUGAAAAUCAAUUUUAUGAAAAGUGAAAUCUUUUCGAUUCGUGCUGAUGAUACUACUAUGCAAAAAUAUGCUGAGAUGUUUAAUUGCCAGAUAGGUGACUUCCCUAUCAAAUACCUAGGCAUGCCUGUGAGCCAUGCUGGUUUGAAGUGUAGUGAUUGGAUCUUUGUAGAUGGCAAAUUCAUCGAUCAUUGUGAAACCUGGAUUAGUGAAGUUCUAUCCAUGGGGGAAAGGCUGAUCAAAGUGAACACUGUGCUGUCUCAUAUUCCUACUUUUUACAUGUCUAUGUUUCUUUUGAACAAGACUACCUUGGAGAAGUGGGACAAACCCAGAGGAAAAUUUUUCCGGCAUAGCAAAGGGAAAAAGGAGGCUACCAUAUGGUUAAAUGGAGCCGUAUAUGUCAAUCCAAAAAGAAAGGGGGUUGGGUGUUAA
This 603-nucleotide ribosomal RNA is filed under the name Triticum aestivum (bread wheat). RNAcentral's name for it is "partial small subunit ribosomal RNA". The record is from RNAcentral. Lineage: Eukaryota; Viridiplantae; Streptophyta; Magnoliopsida; Poales; Poaceae.